GCCGGGCGCAGUGGUGCAUGCCUGUAGUUCCAGCUACUCGGGAGGCUGAGGUGGGGGGAUCGCUUGAGCCCAGGAGUUCUGGGCUGUAGUGCGCUAUGCCAAUUGGGUGUCUGCACUAAGUCCAGCAUCAAUAUGGUGACUUCCCGGGAGCGGGGGACCACCAGGUUGCCUAAGCAGGGGUGAACCGGCCCAGGUCAGAAACGGAGCAGGUCAAAACUCCUGUGCUGAUCAGUAGUGGGAUCGCGCCUGUGAAUAGCCACUGCACUCCAGCCUGGGCGACAUAGUGAGACUCCGUCUCU
This 299-nucleotide signal recognition particle RNA is filed under the name Aotus nancymaae (Ma's night monkey). RNAcentral's name for it is "Metazoan signal recognition particle RNA (ENSANAG00000005392.1)". It matches the Rfam family "Metazoan signal recognition particle RNA". Rfam says of the family: The signal recognition particle (SRP) is a universally conserved ribonucleoprotein. Lineage: Eukaryota; Metazoa; Chordata; Mammalia; Primates; Aotidae. The record is from RNAcentral.